AUUGAACGCUGGCGGCAUGCCUUACACAUGCAAGUCGAACGGCAGCACGGGAGCAAUCCUGGUGGCGAGUGGCGAACGGGUGAGUAAUGUAUCGGAACGUACCUUUCAGUGGGGGAUAACGUAGCGAAAGUUACGCUAAUACCGCAUAUUCUGUGAGCAGGAAAGCAGGGGAUCGCAAGACCUUGCGCUGAUUGAGCGGCCGAUAUCAGAUUAGCUAGUUGGUGAGGUAAAGGCUCACCAAGGCGACGAUCUGUAGCGGGUCUGAGAGGAUGAUCCGCCACACUGGAACUGAGACACGGUCCAGACUCCUACGGGAGGCAGCAGUGGGGAAUUUUGGACAAUGGGCGCAAGCCUGAUCCAGCCAUGCCGCGUGAGUGAAGAAGGGCCUCGGUUGUAAGUACGUACUUUCUAGU
This 413-nucleotide ribosomal RNA is filed under the name uncultured bacterium. Its description in RNAcentral is "bacterial SSU rRNA". It matches the Rfam family "Bacterial small subunit ribosomal RNA", at positions 30 to 443 of the family's 1533-position model. The record is from RNAcentral.